This 497-nucleotide ribosomal RNA is filed under the name uncultured bacterium. RNAcentral's name for it is "partial 16S ribosomal RNA". It matches the Rfam family "Bacterial small subunit ribosomal RNA", at positions 28 to 507 of the family's 1533-position model. The record is from RNAcentral.
GAUGAACGCUGGCGGCGUGCCUAAUACAUGCAAGUCGAGCGAACAGACGAGGAGCUUGCUCCUCUGACGUUAGCGGCGGACGGGUGAGUAACACGUGGAUAACCUACCUAUAAGACUGGGAUAACUUCGGGAAACCGGAGCUAAUACCGGAUAAUAUAUUGAACCGCAUGGUUCAAUAGUGAAAGACGGUUUUGCUGUCACUUAUAGAUGGAUCCGCGCCGCAUUAGCUAGUUGGUAAGGUAACGGCUUACCAAGGCAACGAUGCGUAGCCGACCUGAGAGGGUGGUCGGCCAGACUGGAAGUGAGACACGGCCCAGACUCCUGCGGGAAGCAGCAGUAGGGAAUCUUCCGCAAUGGGCGAGUGGCUGACGGAGCACCGCCGCGUGAGGGAUGAAGGUCUUCGGCUCGUAAAGCUCUGUUAUUAGUGGAGAACAAAUGUGUAAGUAACUAUGCUCGUCUUGACGGUACCUAAUCAGAAAGCCACGGCUAACUACGUG